Molecule: ribosomal RNA, 435 nt
Filed under: uncultured bacterium
Lineage: Bacteria
Description: bacterial SSU rRNA
Rfam family: Bacterial small subunit ribosomal RNA
Source: RNAcentral
GUGAAAUGUUGGGUUAAGUCCCGCAACGAGCGCAACCCUUAUCCUUUGUUGCCAGCACGUAAUGGUGGGAACUCAAGGGAGACUGCCGGUGACAAACCGGAGGAAGGUGGGGAUGACGUCAAGUCAUCAUGGCCCUUACGAGUAGGGCUACACACGUGCUACAAUGGCAGAUACAAAGUGAAGCGAACUCGCGAGAGCAAGCGGACCACAUAAAGUCUGUCGUAGUCCGGAUUGGAGUCUGCAACUCGACUCCAUGAAGUCGGAAUCGCUAGUAAUCGUAGAUCAGAAUGCUACGGUGAAUACGUUCCCGGGCCUUGUACACACCGCCCGUCACACCAUGGGAGUGGGUUGCAAAAGAAGUAGGUAGCUUAACCUUCGGGAGGGCGCUUACCACUUUGUGAUUCAUGACUGGGGUGAAGUCGUAACAGGGUAACC